RNAcentral lists this transfer RNA (76 nucleotides) under Desulfuromonas sp. RNAcentral's name for it is "tRNA-Val". It matches the Rfam family "tRNA". From Rfam's summary of the family: Transfer RNA (tRNA) molecules are approximately 80 nucleotides in length. Their secondary structure includes four short double-helical elements and three loops (D, anti-codon, and T loops). The record is from RNAcentral. Lineage: Bacteria; Pseudomonadati; Thermodesulfobacteriota; Desulfuromonadia; Desulfuromonadales; Desulfuromonadaceae.
GGGCGAAUAGCUCAGCCGGGAGAGCGCCUGCCUUACAAGCAGGAUGUCGGGGGUUCGAGCCCCUCUUCGCCCACCA